Molecule: transfer RNA, 90 nt
Filed under: Candidatus Terrybacteria bacterium RIFCSPHIGHO2_01_FULL_43_35
Lineage: Bacteria; Candidatus Terryibacteriota
Also listed under: 2 other names
Description: tRNA-Ser
Rfam family: tRNA
About the family: Transfer RNA (tRNA) molecules are approximately 80 nucleotides in length.
Source: RNAcentral
GGAGGGGUGCCUGAGUGGUUGAAAGGGACAGUCUUGAAAACUGUUAUACCCGCAAGGGUAUCGCGAGUUCGAAUCUCGCCCCCUCCGCCA